RNAcentral lists this ribosomal RNA (392 nucleotides) under uncultured bacterium. RNAcentral describes it as "bacterial SSU rRNA". It matches the Rfam family "Bacterial small subunit ribosomal RNA", at positions 28 to 419 of the family's 1533-position model. The record is from RNAcentral.
GACGAACGCUGGCGGCGUGCUUAACACAUGCAAGUCGAGCGGUAAGGCCCUUUCGGGGGUACACGAGCGGCGGACGGGUGAGUAACACGUGGGUGACCUGCCCUCAGCUCUGGGAUAAGCCUGGGAAAACCGGGUCUAAUACCGGAUAUGACUCCAUGACGCAUGUUGUGGGGUGGAAAGCCUUGUGCGGCUGAGGAUGGGCCCGCGGCCUAUCAGCUUGUUGGUGGGGUGANGGCCUACCAAGGCGACGACGGGUAGCCGGCCUGAGAGGGCGACCGGCCACACUGGGACUGAGACACGGCCCAGGACUCCUACGGGAGGCAGCAGUGGGGAAUCUUGCGCAAUGGGCGAAAGCCUGACGCAGCGACGCCGCGUGAGGGAUGACGGCCUGG